GUUUACUCUCACCCAGUGAGUUCCCAGAGAGUUAUAUGGGGACUUGGUCAGCUGUGCUGUGAGGUCAUAAUCUCAGUAUGUCCCACAUGGAAUGUCGCUGGUCAUUGUCCCUGAGCAAGAAGCACCCCUUGGGAGCAGAGAGUAAGCACUUAAUUGAAGGCUUUCAGUGAAGUGGUGGCUGAGGGUGAGUCUAGGGGGCAGCUGGCACCAGGCCGCCUGCCAUCACACUCUUGCUGGCCUCCGCCAGGGUCCCAGCUUUCUCUGAAGACAGCCCGUGGUGGCAGGAAACAGCCAGAAGCCAGAGGCAGUGCCUGAGGGCUUCUGAUGACAGUAGUUUAGCCAAGAACCAGACCCACAAAUGUGGGCAAGUUGGUCUGUUCUUGGGGCUAGGGGAGCAGAGUGCACCAGUAUGCUAAGGAUAGUCCCCUGUAGGGGCAAAGUAAGCCCCAACCAAGAUUCAGGGAAACAAAUCUGGCAGGAAGGAAGCUUUAGUCACUGGAAUGCCAGAAGGCUUUCUUUCUAGUCCACAUCAGCAGAAGACACUUUCUAGGAGGUUCUGAGUGACCAGAAGGACAAUGAGCCUGGAACCUGGACUCUGUGAGCCAUACAGGGUAGAGGAAGGAGAAGAUGAGGGUAUCCUGUGGAUGGGGAGGCAUAAAGAAGCUUCUGGGUCUAGGAAGAUGUGGAAGUGAUGAAGAGGAAGCAACUUUGAGAAGCCCUGGGCUUUCAGAAACCAGGGGCCAUUCUGUUCAUCGUGGAUGUUCAAGAGGGCAAGUAAUAACAAGCCAACUUGCCACUCCUGCCAGGCACCUAGGGGGAUGCCGGUGGAUGUCACCAGAACCUAUUGCUCUACUGUCACUCUUUGCCUCUACCACUCCACUGAUUACCCUUCUGGGGGUCGAGAAUUGCAUUGUGCAAUAGAAUAUCAACUUUGAGACAGGAAACCAAGUAGAGUGGAAGUUUCUCAAACUGGGUAAGGAUGUAACAAAAACAAAACCCAUCUUGAAUGACCACUGAAUCUUCAGUUUCCCAGAGGAGGCUGGGACCCAAACUGAUGUCUGGGCAGGGAUGAGUAAUAUGUCCAUAAAGCCUUGUAGACUUCUGGGACUGCACAAGCCCUGUGCCUCCUACCUGCAGGGUGGUGGCAGGGCACCUUUAACGAAGCAUUAUCAUUGGGUAAAUGCCCUGGGACUUGGUCAUUUAAGGAUCACUCCGGCCAGUGAUGCAAUAGGGAUGUCAUUGGUUUUUUAGCACGCAUCAUUGGCCAGUAGCUUGCCGUUGGGUCUGGGUGGGAGCACUGAGACUAGUGCCUACAGAGGAAGUGCCAGACUGGGCUGAGGCUGUACCUGGGAGCUGGGCAGAAAUGACAUUUUCUCCACCUCCAGGGAGCUGGAUCUUGCCGGACCAGGCAGCGGAGGCAGGAACAGAAAUCUCAAGCUUUGGUUUUCUUGUUGCCCCACAUUGCCGUAUGGACUCUGCAUCUCCUCCGCUCCCCUCCCCCCAAAUCGUUGCCCACUGAAGCCAGACAAAAUAAUGUGCUCCCCCAUCUCUUUCAAAAAAGUGGAACGCAAGUCACGGGAAGCUUUGCUUUUCCUCUGACUUCUUCCUGUAAACCACAGUUCAGGACUUGGUGCAGGAAGAGUCAGCUCUCAAACCGAAGCCGACCUUGCUUUUUAACCUCCUGAGACACCGGGGCCAAGUUCUCCGCUGUCCCCUCCCCUGGGCGGGGGGGUGUGGUGCGGGCCGAGCUGACCGGGGGCCCGGG
This 1765-nucleotide long non-coding RNA is filed under the name Vulpes vulpes (red fox). RNAcentral's name for it is "lncRNA (ENSVVUG00000007412.1)". The record is from RNAcentral. Lineage: Eukaryota; Metazoa; Chordata; Mammalia; Carnivora; Canidae.